Molecule: ribosomal RNA, 251 nt
Filed under: uncultured prokaryote
Description: partial 16S rRNA
Rfam family: Bacterial small subunit ribosomal RNA
Source: RNAcentral
ACGUAGGUGGCAAGCGUUAUCCGGAAUUACUGGGCGUAAAGGGCGUGUAGGCGGGAAGACAAGUCGGGAGUGAAAUCCCAGGGCUUAACCCUGGAGCUGCUUCCGAAACUGUUUUUCUUGAGUAUCGGAGAGGAAAGUGGAAUUCCCAGUGGAGCGGUGAGAUGCGUAUUGAUUGGGAGGAGCAGCAGUGGCGUAGGCGACUUUCUGGACGAUUACUGAGGCUGAGGCGGAAAAGCGUGGGGAGCAAACAG